Non-coding RNA from Rattus norvegicus (Norway rat), 69 nucleotides. Lineage: Eukaryota; Metazoa; Chordata; Mammalia; Rodentia; Muridae. The record is from Rfam.
GGGGAUUUAGCUCAGUGGUAGAGUGCUUGCCUAGCAAGUGCAAGACCUUGGGUUCGGUUCCCAGCUCCG